This 941-nucleotide long non-coding RNA is filed under the name Homo sapiens (human). Its description in RNAcentral is "HSALNT0265238". Lineage: Eukaryota; Metazoa; Chordata; Mammalia; Primates; Hominidae. The record is from RNAcentral.
AAAUAUCAGUUCUUCCUGGGUCUUGAGCCUGCCAGCCUUAGGAUUGGAACUGUACCAUCAGCUAUCAGUCCCAGGCCUAUGGACUUGGAUAGCAACGGAGCAAAUGAGUGAGGGCGGAUUGUGCAGUAUUGGAGACAGGCACGUCCAGGAGAGAGGGGAACGCGCGCGGCCCUCGCAGGGCCGGCAGCCCUGAUCACAAGCCUCGCCAGCUUUGACCAGCGCCCGCAGGCUGCAUCGGAAGCAUCUGGAGAAAUAUUUGAUGGAACACCCCGUAAUUAGAUGGACUGGCUUAAUUAGGAGAAGUUUGCGGGCAGAGGGAAGCCGGGGGGUCUGUGCUGGGAUCUGAAGGUUUGCAGCCUCGUCCCAGGAGGCCCGGGGCACAAAGCUCUGCCCGCUGAGCGCGCACGCGCUGCUGUGUCUGCACAUCCAAGGCGGCCCCGUGGGGUCUGCGAAUCCAAGCUGGGGGCCAGGGGCCUGCCCCCCGGCAACAGCAUUGCCAAAACGACAGCAGCCACGCUGCAUCAUCCGAUGCCCCCACCGCGCGUGUAGUCUAACAAGGCGGACAGGAUGAAAACUCGAUGCAGUCGCCCUGUGGAAGCUGGCUGUGGGAGGCAUUUUUCUGAGACUGGGAAGAGGAUUCUAGGUAUUGUGGCUUGAGCACGCACAAUAUGAGGGAAGAAUCGGACGGAACGUUUCCACCAUCUGGAACCACAGCAGCCAGAAGCAGAAAGGAGAGAUAAAUGCAGGACAGAGACAUGAUGAAAAAACAAACUUCAGAGACAACCCAAAUUCUCCAAUCUGUUGAAAAAGUUCUGGAGGUGAUGGUGGUGAUGAUUGCACAACAAUGUGACGGCACUGAAUGCCACUGAACUGUACACUCAAAAAAGUUAAGAUGGUAAAGUUUAUGUUUUACAUUUUACCACAAUAAAAACAUGAAAAAC